RNAcentral lists this ribosomal RNA (171 nucleotides) under Clostridium perfringens. Its description in RNAcentral is "partial 16S ribosomal RNA". It matches the Rfam family "Bacterial small subunit ribosomal RNA", at positions 1 to 170 of the family's 1533-position model. Lineage: Bacteria; Bacillati; Bacillota; Clostridia; Eubacteriales; Clostridiaceae. The record is from RNAcentral.
UAAAUUGAGAGUUUGAUCCUGGCUCAGGAUGAACGCUGGCGGCGUGCUUAACACAUGCAAGUCGAGCGAUGAAGUUUCCUUCGGGAAACGGAUUAGCGGCGGACGGGUGAGUAACACGUGGGUAACCUGCCUCAUAGAGUGGAAUAGCCUUCCGAAAGGAAGAUUAAUACC